CCGUAGGAGGCAAGCGUUAUCCGGAUUCACUGGGCGUAAAGCGCGUGCAGGUGGUGCGGUAAGUUGGCGUGAAAUCUCCCGGCUCAACUGGGAGAGGUCGUUCAAUACUACCGUGCUUGAGAGCAGAAGAGGAAGAUGGAAUUCCCGGUGUAGUGGUGAAAUGCGUAGAUAUCGGGAGGAACACCAGUGGCGAAGGCGAUCUUCUGGUCUGUUUCUGACACUCAGACGCGACAGCUAGGGUAGUAAACGGGAUUAGAGACCCCGGUAAUCCUAGCCGUAAACGAUGUGAACUUGGCGUUGGUGGGUUAAACUCCAUCAGUGCCGUAGCAAACGCGAUAAGUUCACCGCCUGGGGACUACGGCCGCAAGGUUA
RNAcentral lists this ribosomal RNA (372 nucleotides) under uncultured organism. RNAcentral describes it as "bacterial SSU rRNA". It matches the Rfam family "Bacterial small subunit ribosomal RNA", at positions 525 to 896 of the family's 1533-position model. The record is from RNAcentral.